Molecule: long non-coding RNA, 688 nt
Organism: Triplophysa rosa
Lineage: Eukaryota; Metazoa; Chordata; Actinopteri; Cypriniformes; Nemacheilidae
Exons: 3
Source: RefSeq, a predicted model, not a curated record
GUCCAUCAUAAUGAGGAAUCACAGAGAACAUUAGCCGAACACAUUUGAGAUGAAGCUAAUAUCUAAAAUUCUUGCUUUGGCUAUUUUCAUGGUCCUCCCAUGUGUUCAGACAGCUUUUCACUCGAUCGUCACCUUUUACACUCAAGUACUGGGCAGGAUUUCUUUGCUUUAACUGAAGUGGAUGGGCAAAAGGUGUUUUACAAUGACAGUAAAAUUAAGAAACUGACACACAAGCAGGAGUGGGUAAAGAAGCUUAUGUCUGACGAGCGCUGGAACAAGGAAAUACAAAACAGAAAAAAUGCACGAGAUAUGUGAAAAAACAUGAAGCGUCACCUUGAUUCAAAACAAGGAAGACACAAUUUUCAGAGGACGUAUGGCUGUAAGUGGAACGAUGAGACUGAAGAUGUUGAGGCAUUCGACUCGGUUACAAUGGGGAGGAUUUCAUCUCACUGGACAUGCAAAAGAAGGAAUACAUAGCCUUUUCUUUUUCCCUCUAAUUUAUAUGCAACUGGACAAAGAUGUGAAUUACAGUUACAAGUUGCAAUGAACGUCUCAUUGUGAUCUGUCAAAAAGUCGAACUGUCUUCAGAUUUUUCUGGUCAAUGACUGUAGGAGCCAUCUUGCUGUUUCCCCACUAGGUGGCGUAGGGUGACCUUAUAUAUGAAGGCCAAAGAGUAAUUGGCGUCAGG